RNAcentral lists this ribosomal RNA (640 nucleotides) under uncultured bacterium. RNAcentral describes it as "bacterial SSU rRNA". It matches the Rfam family "Bacterial small subunit ribosomal RNA", at positions 31 to 667 of the family's 1533-position model. The record is from RNAcentral.
UGACGCUGGCGGCAUGCCUUACACAUGCAAGUCGAACGGUAACGCGGGGCAACCUGGCGACGAGUGGCGAACGGGUGAGUAAUAUAUCGGAACGUGCCCAGUCGUGGGGGAUAACUGCUCGAAAGAGCAGCUAAUACCGCAUACGACCUGAGGGUGAAAGCGGGGGAUCUUCGGACCUCGCGCGAUUGGAGCGGCCGAUAUCAGAUUAGGUAGUUGGUGGGGUAAAGGCCUACCAAGCCGACGAUCUGUAGCUGGUCUGAGAGGACGACCAGCCACACUGGGACUGAGACACGGCCCAGACUCCUACGGGAGGCAGCAGUGGGGAAUUUUGGACAAUGGGGGCAACCCUGAUCCAGCCAUGCCGCGUGCGGGAAGAAGGCCUUCGGGUUGUAAACCGCUUUUGUCAGGGAAGAAAUCCUUUGGGCUAAUAACUCGGAGGGAUGACGGUACCUGAAGAAUAAGCACCGGCUAACUACGUGCCAGCAGCCGCGGUAAUACGUAGGGUGCAAGCGUUAAUCGGAAUUACUGGGCGUAAAGCGUGCGCAGGCGGUUAUGCAAGACAGAUGUGAAAUCCCCGGGCUCAACCUGGGANCUGCAUUUGUGACUGCAUGGCUANAGUACCGUANAAGGGGGAUGGAAA